Bufo bufo (common toad) is the source of this 148-nucleotide long non-coding RNA. RefSeq lists it as uncharacterized. The transcript is spliced from 3 exons. The record is from RefSeq and is a predicted model, not a curated record. Lineage: Eukaryota; Metazoa; Chordata; Amphibia; Anura; Bufonidae.
CUUCCCCAUGGACGGGUGAUAAAGCGCACUGUGAAUACAGCGACUGAACUUGGCCGACAUGCACUUGGUUUAAAAACGACAUCCCUCAUAUUUCAGUCACUUCAGCUGUCUUGCGUAUGGAGGCAGGGUUACCAGGAACAAGAGGCAA